GACGUAGGGCGCGAGCGUUGUCCGGAUUUAUUGGGCGUAAAGAGCUCGUAGGCGGCUUGUCGCGUCGAAUGUGAAAACUCGGGGCUCAACUCCGAGCUUGCAUUCGAUACGGGCAGGCUAGAGUCCGGUAGGGGAGACUGGAAUUCCUGGUGUAGCGGUGAAAUGCGCAGAUAUCAGGAGGAACACCGGUGGCGAAGGCGGGUCUCUGGGCCGAUACUGACGCUGAGGAGCGAAAGCGUGGGGAGCGAACAGG
This 253-nucleotide ribosomal RNA is filed under the name uncultured bacterium. Its description in RNAcentral is "partial 16S ribosomal RNA". It matches the Rfam family "Bacterial small subunit ribosomal RNA", at positions 524 to 776 of the family's 1533-position model. The record is from RNAcentral.